AUGACGCACCGAGAUGGUCUGUUUCCAUAUGAGACAGUACGACGAUCCAAUCAUAUGUCCAGGAGACCAUGGCCGGCCACCCCAGCAAAGAUAGAUACUGCUACUGAUGGCAUCGAAAAUCGUGCACCAGAUUAUUUCCUCCCCUUCUUCAUAUCUGCACAUUGUAUAGCAACAUUGUUGAUCCUCUCUCUCUCUCUCUCUCUCUCUCUCUCUCUCUCUCUCUUGAUUCUCUCUCUCCCCCCCUGUUUCAGACAGCAGCAACAAGCAGUAGCAGUAGUCCUUUGCACAGUCUACACUUCUCUGCGUGCAGUUUAUAAAAGCUUGGGGAAGAAAGAAAAGAAAGAAAGAGAGGGGGCCAUGAAUGAAUGCCUGCAUUGCUCCUCCUCAUACUAUCAUCUAUCUCAUCUCCUCUCCUCUCCAUGGAUGGAUGGGAAAGGGGCGCAGCGCAUAGAUAGGGAGGGGCCAUGGCCAUCAUUGUUCACGCUCUGCUUCACGAGCAAUGUCUGA
RNAcentral lists this ribosomal RNA (507 nucleotides) under Triticum aestivum (bread wheat). RNAcentral's name for it is "partial small subunit ribosomal RNA". The record is from RNAcentral. Lineage: Eukaryota; Viridiplantae; Streptophyta; Magnoliopsida; Poales; Poaceae.